UGGGGAAUUUUGCGCAAUGCUCGGUAGAGUGACGCAGCGACGCCGCGUGAAUGAGGAAGGCCUUCGGGUCGUAAAGUUCUUUCGACAGGGAAGAAAUUAAUUAUAAUUAACUGUGUAAUUAUUGACGGUACCUGUAUAAGCAGCCCCGGCUAACUCCGUGCCAGCAGCCGCGGUAAUACGGAGGGGGCGAGCGUUGUUCGGAGUGACUGGGCGUAAAGAGCACGUAGGCGGUGUUAUAAGUCAUUAGUCAAAGACUAGAGCUCAACUUUAGUAAGGCUAGUGAUACUAUAAUACUAGAGUAUCAGAGAGGAUUGCAGAAUUCCUGGUGUAGCGGUGAAAUGCGUAGAUAUCAGGAGGAAUACCAUUAGCGAAGGCGGCGAUCUGGCUGGUAACUGACGCUGAGGUGCGAAAGCGUGGGUAGCAAACAGG
RNAcentral lists this ribosomal RNA (429 nucleotides) under uncultured bacterium. Its description in RNAcentral is "bacterial SSU rRNA". It matches the Rfam family "Bacterial small subunit ribosomal RNA", at positions 355 to 776 of the family's 1533-position model. The record is from RNAcentral.